UCCCUGGUGGUCCAGUGGUUAGGACUCUGUGCUUCCAUUUUAGGGGACACAGGUUCGAUCCUUGGUCAGGGAA
RNAcentral lists this transfer RNA (73 nucleotides) under Ovis aries (sheep). It matches the Rfam family "tRNA". Rfam says of the family: Transfer RNA (tRNA) molecules are approximately 80 nucleotides in length. Their secondary structure includes four short double-helical elements and three loops (D, anti-codon, and T loops). Lineage: Eukaryota; Metazoa; Chordata; Mammalia; Artiodactyla; Bovidae. The record is from Rfam by way of RNAcentral.